RNAcentral lists this ribosomal RNA (253 nucleotides) under uncultured bacterium. RNAcentral's name for it is "partial 16S ribosomal RNA". It matches the Rfam family "Bacterial small subunit ribosomal RNA", at positions 524 to 776 of the family's 1533-position model. The record is from RNAcentral.
UACAGAGGCCCCAAGCGUUACUGAGAAUCACUGGGUUUAAAGGGUGCGUAGGUGGUCCGUUAAGUUCGUUGUGAAAUCCCUGGGCUCAACCCAGGAAAUGCUUCGAAUACUGGCGGACUUGAGGCUAGUAGAGGUCACUGGAACUGACGGUGGAGCGGUGAAAUGCGUAGAUAUCGUCAGGAACGCCGGUGGUGAAGACGGGUGACUGGGCUAGUUCUGACACUGAGGCACGAAAGCGUGGGGAGCGAACGGG